GGGGAAUUUUCCGCAAUGGGCGCAAUCCUGACGGAGCAAGACCGCGUGAGGGAGGAAGGCUCUUGGGUUGUAAACCUCUUUUCUUGGGGAAUAAAAAAAUGAAGGUACCCAAGGAAUCAGCAUCGGCUAACUCCGUGCCAGCAGCCGCGGUAAUACGGAGGAUGCAAGCGUUAUCCGGAAUUAUUGGGCGUAAAGCGUCCGCAGGUGGCACUUCAAGUCUGCUGUCAAAGACCGGGGCUUAACCCUGGAAAGGCAGUGGAAACUGAAGCGCUAGAGUGUCGUAGGGGUAGAGGGAAUUCCUGGUGUAGCGGUGAAAUGCGUAGAGAUCAGGAAGAACAUCGGUGGCGAAAGCGCUCUACUGGACGACAACUGACACUCAGGGACGAAAGCUAGGGGAGCGAAUGGGAUUAGAUACCCCAGUAGUCCUAGCCGUAAACGAUGGAUACUAGGUGUGGCUUGUAUCGACCCGAGCCGUGCCGUAGCUAACGCGUUAAGUAUCC
This 500-nucleotide ribosomal RNA is filed under the name uncultured cyanobacterium. RNAcentral describes it as "bacterial SSU rRNA". It matches the Rfam family "Bacterial small subunit ribosomal RNA", at positions 356 to 869 of the family's 1533-position model. Lineage: Bacteria; Bacillati; Cyanobacteriota. The record is from RNAcentral.